GCAGAAAUAGAAGUUAUGUUGGUAGUUUUCAGAAAUUUAAAAUUCUGAACAAAUUCUUACUAUUUGGAGCACUUACCGAGAUUACGCGGAAUUGAAACUUUGAAAUUAACAGUUUUGCACAUUUGUCGAUAGCAGUAUAUCCAUUACAACAAAAUAUUUACAAUGUUGCAUAGAUAAUUAAUUGUGUGUACCAUAUUAAUUAUUUGCUUAGCACUUUUGUCGAUUUGCAGCGUCGAGUAUGUACACAAAAACAAUCAAAUCGCAAGCGAUUGUUUAAUUUAAUAGUGCAUUCGACUGAUUUACCUACAUUCUAUAUAAAUACAUUGGCAAAUUCCUUUGACAUCUGCUACGAAAAGUAAAUAACUACAAGUAUUCAAACAAAUAACUUUUACCCGCAGCUGCCUUUUAGUUAUAACUUAUCGACUUAUCGAGUGAUUAAUUAUUUAUUUAGUAACUGUACUCAUAAACAAACUAAACGUAUACGAGUAUAAACAGAAACUUUAAAGCGGCAGGCAGAGAAGCCCAUUAUAUAGCAAAUAUUUAAGGAUACUGAAUAAAAUAUUGACACUGAAGUCAACUGACAGAGAUUUUGAAUAGACUGCACUCAUACCGAAGAACUACGGCUGACAACACACGAUUUUGAAACCGCUUCCAGACUGAUUUCAAAGAUAUUUGCAACAUCACGAUUUCCAUCUAAAACGCUGAAGAAAUACCUGAGGUAUGUGAAAUAAUGAAUUUGUUAUGAAUGAAGUGAUAACUUCCACUCAGUGUAAUUUCAUAAAAAUGCUGACGAAUGUGGCAAAACAACGCUAACAACCAUAUUACUUGAUAUGAACUAUUUCAAAAUAAGCGCCAAAUACCGAUCCGGUACGUGCCAAACAACACUCUUUGGUGAUUGCCAUUGAAAUUUAUUGUUUGAACACAGUGUGAACAAAAUUGAUCACGAAACACACAAGAAUUUAAUCUAAAAUGGAGUAAGAAAUAGCAAAGUGGAGAAAACAAAUCAACGAAUAGUAUUGGUAAGUGACGCAAAAGCGGUAAUAAAGCAUUGCAUACAGCAAAUUGGCAAGUGGAAAAGAGGAAAAGUGUCAAAACAAAUAAAAAAUUGUUGAAACACACACACACAGUUACAAAGCCAUACGUGUAGCGGAGCAUUAGAGCGCAGUAAGAGCUCGCGAAUAUAUAUGGAAACGGCGAACACGGUGAUAAUUCAUUUUUAUUAGAGUCAACAUGGCAGAAACAACGACAGCAAACAACACGAACAACAAUGCAACAUGUCGCGAAAUAAGGAAGGUAAAACCGCAAAAGUGUAGUCGCCGCGCUGACAACAACAGCGCGCCAGUGUCGUUGCAUAGUACGCCAUAAAGCAACGAUAAAUGAUGACACAAGGAAAGUUGUAGUGCAAGAGGAAGCCAACAAUGUCAAUGUUGUCAGCGGUGACUACCUGCUGCUGUUGUUGGCAUUGUUGUCGGCGUGCAAAUAGCAGUGACAUGACCUCCAGGCGAUUGCAAGUGUUAGGAAAGUGUCGCAGGAAGUUGAGCAACUCAUCAUGCAUGUAUUGUUGCCUUGCACUUGAAGAUUUGAUGUACCCUCUGCGCAUGUCGAAAUCGCGAAUAUCGACAGGCGAACCGACACAAUGUGAAUAACGACAUUUAUGUUAUUGUGCAUUGGACAAGCGGCGGUCACUGUGGAAAUGUUUAAAGGGGGUGUGUUGGUAAGUAUGAAAAAUGCCACGGAAAUGCUGUGUUUAAGUUAUGCUCCACGAAAUCUCACAAUUGCUGGUCUGUUGAUAUGGGAUCUGAAUAUAUAUAUUUUUAUUGGUAUUGGUGAUUUCAUAAAGAAUUACGUAGGUUGUCUUCUAUAUAUUGGGACUUGAAACAUCAAGUUCGCGAUCUAAUUUCAUUUUUUGGCCGAAAUGAAUAUUUUAAGUUACUAUAAGUUUAUAGCCAAAAAAUUAAAUUAGAUCGCAAAUAUGUUUACGCUAUUAUUUUUUAACACUUUCGAUGUGAAUUACCUCAGUAACGGCGCAUCUGUGAACUUCAUUCAAUUUUGUGUGAUGAAAUCCCAUCAAGGAUCAACGUUUAUCGACAAUAUGAUGAAUUCAAUCGAAGUCGUAAAUCAUUUCGAUGUGAAUUUCUUAAAGGGACAUUCAAAAUCUGUUGUGCUUACGGAAACUAUUGAUGCUGUGGCAAACUGGAUUUUGCAAGAUCGUCAUGUGACCUAUCGUGAGAUUUACACAACUAUAGACAUUAAUUGAUCCCACAGAAUUUGUCAAUUCAAAAAAGGCUCGUGUCGAUUGAACAAGAACGAGAAAUGGUAAAAAAAAUACGAUAACUGUGCUUCGACACACGUUUAUGAUAAUUUGACAGGCGAUAACUCGUGAAUUUAUACGUAUGUAUAUAUGAGCCCGAAUGUAAACAACAGGCGAUUGUAUGGGUGUUCAAAAUAAGCCUAAUCCAAAAAGCUGUUCGAGCAAAAGUAUAUUUCCAAGCAAAUGGUUGCCUGUUUUAUUAGAAAAACGUAAUAUGUCGAAACCAUAUCACUAGAAAUAUAUAGAGCAGUAAAUUCCGAGCGGUACACAACCAUUUGCUUGUCAAUUGUCCUUCAACAAAUCACCGAAACCACCGACGACAGAUUACACUUCACCGCGAUUAUGCGAGUUCUCAUGCGUCGCCUGAAUCAGCCGCUGUUUUGAACACUUAAAACAUCGAUCCAAUGAGUAAAGCACCGUAAAGGCCUGACUUGGCAUCGAACGUCUAAUUUUCAUUGCCAUACGAAUAAGAUAAACUAAGAAUAAAUGUGCUGCGACAUCGGAAGAGGCGGUUGAAACGUUUAGAACGCAUGGUAUCCACACCACGAUCAUAUCAGCAAAAGUGAUUCGAAAAUUGGUUCAAACACAUGCCGAAAUAUAUAGAUCUUAAUUGAGACUAUUUUAUUUUUUUGUUCUCUAAUUCCGAAAUAUAAAAGGCAUGCUGCUGUACGUAUGUACAUAUAGUACUACAUGGACUGAAAAUUCUUUGAAUAACAAUUAGAAUGACAAACGAUUUUUUUGUAUUCAGAAAUCGUUUUGUUAUUCGCCAUAAUAUGUGGCCACGCCUUUGCUUUAACAGACUUUAAAACCGUCUCGUGGUCAAGUUGUUCUCACAAUGGCACCGCCAACCAUUUCACAGUGAAAGGUAACCAGCGAAGCCGACCAAUUUUAUACAAUAACUUGGAAAUUUUUUCUAUCACAGGUUUACUUUGGUAAAUCUCAGUGGAUCAGUGUGCUGAACGUAUACUCAAACAAAUGUGCCUUGCUUUUCCGAGUUGUAAGCGCUGAGGUCCUAACGACGUUAUACUUUAUACAAUUUAAAUAAUUUUUCUAUACAUUUAUACUCCCAAAACUCCUCAGUAAUCGGAAAAAUCGGUAAAUCUGUAUUAUUGAGUCAAAUGCAAAUUUAAUUGAUUAUGAAGAGCUCUUAACGAAAAAAUUAUGUAGAAAAUAGUAAAAUACUUUAAGCAUGAAAUAAAUCUGAUUUUAAAGUAACGGUAACUAACUGCAACUACUUGA
Bactrocera dorsalis (oriental fruit fly) is the source of this 3550-nucleotide long non-coding RNA. RefSeq lists it as uncharacterized. The record is from RefSeq and is a predicted model, not a curated record. The transcript has 3 exons. Lineage: Eukaryota; Metazoa; Arthropoda; Insecta; Diptera; Tephritidae.